This 497-nucleotide ribosomal RNA is filed under the name uncultured bacterium. Its description in RNAcentral is "partial 16S ribosomal RNA". It matches the Rfam family "Bacterial small subunit ribosomal RNA", at positions 28 to 507 of the family's 1533-position model. The record is from RNAcentral.
GAUGAACGCUGGCGGCGUGCCUAAUACAUGCAAGUCGAGCGAACAGACGAGGAGCUUGCUCCCCUGACGUUAGCGGCGGACGGGUGAGUAACACGUGGAUAACCUACCUAUAAGACUGGGAUAACUUCGGGAAACCGGAGCUAAUACCGGAUAAUAUAUUGAACCGCAUGGUUCACUAGUGAAAGACGGUUUUGCUGUCACUUAUAGACGGAUCCGCGCCGCAUUAGCUAGUUGGUAAGGUAACGGCUUACCAAGGCAACGAUGCGUAGCCGACCUGAGCGGGUGAUCGGCCACACUGGAACUGAGACACGGUCCAGACUCCUACGGGAGGCAGCAGUAGGGAAUCUUCCGCAAUGGGCGAAAGCCUGACGGAGCAACGCCGCGUGAGUGAUGAAGGUCUUCGGAUCGGAAAGCUCUGUUAUUAGGGAAGAACAAAUGUGUAAGUAACUAUGCACGUCUUGACGGUACCUAAACAGAAAGCCACGGCUAACUACGUG